RNAcentral lists this ribosomal RNA (468 nucleotides) under uncultured bacterium. Its description in RNAcentral is "partial 16S ribosomal RNA". It matches the Rfam family "Bacterial small subunit ribosomal RNA", at positions 28 to 507 of the family's 1533-position model. The record is from RNAcentral.
GACGAACGCUGGCGGCGUGCUUAACACAUGCAAGUCGAACGGAAAGGCCCUGCUUUUGUGGGGUGCUCGAGUGGCGAACGGGUGAGUAACACGUGAGUAACCUGCCCUUGACUUUGGGAUAACUUCAGGAAACUGGGGCUAAUACCGGAUAGGAGCUCCUGCUGCAUGGUGGGGGUUGGAAAGUUUCGGCGGUUGGGGAUGGACUCGCGGCUUAUGAGCUUGUUGGUGGGGUAGUGGCUUACCAAGGCUUUGACGGGUAGCCGGCCUGAGAGGGUGAACGGCCACAUUGGGACUGAGAUACGGACCAGACGCCUACGGUAGGCAGUAGUGGGGAAUAUUGCACAAUGGGGCGAAGCCUGAUGCAGCAACGCCGCGUGCGGGAUGACGGCCUUCGGGUUGUAAACCGCUUUCGACUGUGAUGAAGCGUGCGUGACGGUAAUGGGUAAAGAAGCACCGGCUAACUACGUG